GCGGCGGUAGUUGAGUGGUAGAGCCCCUUCUUCGCAUGCGGGGAGACCUGGGUUCGAUUCCCGGCUGCCUCC
Molecule: transfer RNA, 72 nt
Filed under: Toxocara canis (dog roundworm)
Lineage: Eukaryota; Metazoa; Nematoda; Chromadorea; Rhabditida; Toxocaridae
Rfam family: tRNA
About the family: Transfer RNA (tRNA) molecules are approximately 80 nucleotides in length. Their secondary structure includes four short double-helical elements and three loops (D, anti-codon, and T loops).
Source: Rfam by way of RNAcentral